Molecule: RNA transcript, 1288 nt
Organism: Daktulosphaira vitifoliae (grape phylloxera)
Lineage: Eukaryota; Metazoa; Arthropoda; Insecta; Hemiptera; Phylloxeridae
Exons: 7
Source: RefSeq, a predicted model, not a curated record
UAAUAGUAUAAAUGUAUCUAUAAUGUAUGUUUUAUCUGUAAAAGAAAAUUUUCAAAAUUGAUCAGUCAAACAACUUAAUUUUUUGGUAUUUUCCAAUUAUAAAAAUGAAGAGUAUUGUGUUUAUGUUCUUAUGCCUUAUUAAAAUAAUUUGUUCAAAUGAUCAUGAUCUAAUGUCAAUAGCCAAUGAAAACUUUGAUUCCUCCGCAUUGAAAUUGGUGAAUUGUAUACGUAAACUAAUUCCUGGGACUGAACCAUUACAUACAUUUGAUGAUGACGACGAACUCCUUAAAAAAACAAAAAGAAAGAUUUGGGAUUUUAAAAAUUCAAUUGCAAAUAAAAAUUGGAAUUUAAACGAACGCGCCAAUCAGUUUUUCCAAUUUUUUAAACGAUAUAUUUCUUUAACUGAAGAUAGUAAAGUCAAUAUUAACAACGUGAAAAUUUGUCUUGAACAAUUUUACGUAGAUAUAUGUGAUGGGUUUCCGGAAGAAACUGGUGAAACAUCACAACAGUCGACUAAUGAAAAACAAUAAUCAGUUUAGUGCUGUAAUUUCUACGGAGAAUUUAUAUAUAUAUAAAAAGAAAGAUCGAUGUUCUGACAAUAUAGCUUGCCAGAAUCUCUUUGUUUGAUCUUAAUUUUCUUGCGUGUUACAUCUUCAAAACUACAAAGAAAUUUUAGUAUAAAUGUAGGUGCUAAACAAUGAUAACUAUGGUGUAAAAACAUAACCCGAAUGACGUCACAUAGACUCAGCCUAAAGCAUAAUAUUGAUGAUUGAUUAUUACUCGAUAUCGAAAUGGUAGGCGCUGUCAACGUUGGUGGACGAACAGGUGUGACAAAUGAUUCAACACAGUGCUGCUGGGCGUGGUAUAUCCAUUAUCAUUAAUGAAAGAAAUCAGAAACAAUGAAAACCUAAAGCAAAGGGGUUCAAACAAAGUUAAGGGAUUUUGCUCAAUAUUACCAUUAAUUCAUCUCUAUCACCUCACCUAUAAAGAUUGUGCAAUUAUGUAUGAAUUCCUUAAAAAUCAAUUAAUCAAUGCUUAAUCUUUAAUUAAAAAAUAUAACGCGAUAAAAUGUUUUAGUAUGAUUUAUAAUUAUUAUGAAAUAAAACUGCAUAUUUGAUUGCAUCAAGUAUACAGUUUAUUCAAAAUCAGAGCUAAGACUUGUGGUAACACACACAAAAAAUGAACGCCUUCUUUGCCUCGCAUGACUAAUAACAAUAAGAAUCAUAUGAGUAAAACUACUAAAAUUUCAUUUAAAAAUUUCUCGUCAAAAGUAAAAUGUGCACUUAUC